Molecule: long non-coding RNA, 369 nt
Filed under: Struthio camelus australis
Lineage: Eukaryota; Metazoa; Chordata; Aves; Struthioniformes; Struthionidae
Description: lncRNA (ENSSCUG00000001002.1)
Source: RNAcentral
CAGAACGAAAGCAUACUAAAUCACUGAAAGUGAAAGUAGGAGUACAAAGAUACUACAGGAAAAUCAUUCUACAUAUGAUAGUCUACUUGGGUCUCGUAGCAGCACGUAGAUCUACAGUAAUCCUGGCACCCCAGCAGGGAGGCUGGGAAGUCCCUUGGGACGUGCUGGUUGUGCCCAUGACUCAGACACCAACACCAGCAAUGAGGACCAGGGGGCCCGCUGCAAGGAGAAGCCCAGAAGCAAGAGUCUUAUAUUCACCCUCAAAAGAAGUAUCAAAGAUUCAUCAGGAAGUAGACAGUAAGCAGCCUUUGUGCAACACCUGAAUGCAAGCUAAGUAAAUAAAAGGAACAUAAGAAAUAUAGUAGGUCA